RNAcentral lists this non-coding RNA (74 nucleotides) under Fischerella thermalis JSC-11. RNAcentral describes it as "Fischerella sp. JSC-11 Bacterial small subunit ribosomal RNA". It matches the Rfam family "Bacterial small subunit ribosomal RNA", at positions 1 to 74 of the family's 1533-position model. The record is from Rfam by way of RNAcentral. Lineage: Bacteria; Bacillati; Cyanobacteriota; Cyanophyceae; Nostocales; Hapalosiphonaceae.
AAAACGGAGAGUUUGAUCCUGGCUCAGGAUGAACGCUGGCGGUAUGCUUAACACAUGCAAGUCGAACGAUGUGG